GGCUGUGGGGCGUGGCGCUCGCUGUCCGGGCACAGGACAGAGCGCAGGUUCGAUUCCUGCCGCAGCCUCCA
This 71-nucleotide transfer RNA is filed under the name Bacteriophage sp. RNAcentral describes it as "tRNA-Cys". The record is from RNAcentral.